RNAcentral lists this ribosomal RNA (460 nucleotides) under uncultured bacterium. RNAcentral's name for it is "bacterial SSU rRNA". It matches the Rfam family "Bacterial small subunit ribosomal RNA", at positions 25 to 518 of the family's 1533-position model. The record is from RNAcentral.
CGGAACGAACGCUGGCGGCACGCUUAACACAUGCAAGUCGGACGGGGUAUGGGAGCUUGCUCUUAUACUUAGUGGCGGACGGGUGAGUAACACGUGGGAACAUGUCCUGUAGUGGUGGAUAGCUCCGGGAAACUGGAGGUAAUACAGCAUAAGCUCGAGAGAGGAAAGAGAGAUCGCUAUAGGGGUGGCCCGCGGCUGAUUAGGUAGUUGGUGGGGUAAAGGCCUACCAAGCCGAGGAUCAGUAGCUGGUCUGAGAGGAUGGACAGCCACACUGAAACUGAGACACGGUUCAGACUCCUACGGGAGGCAGCAGUGGGGAAUAUUGGACAAUGGGGGCAACCCUGAUCCAGCGAUUGCCGCGUGAGUGAAGAAGGUCUUAGGAUUGUAAAGCUCUUUUGACAGGGAAGAUGAUGACGGUACCUGUAGAAUAAGCACCGGCUAACUCUGUGCCAGCCGCUGC